RNAcentral lists this ribosomal RNA (484 nucleotides) under uncultured bacterium. RNAcentral's name for it is "partial 16S ribosomal RNA". It matches the Rfam family "Bacterial small subunit ribosomal RNA", at positions 29 to 507 of the family's 1533-position model. The record is from RNAcentral.
AUUGAACGCUGGCGGCAUGCUUUACACAUGCAAGUCGAACGGCAGCGCGGGCUUCGGCCUGGCGGCGAAUGGCGAACGGGUGAGUAAUGCAUCGGAACGUGCCCAGUAGUGGGGGAUAGCCCGGCGAAAGCCGGAUUAAUACCGCAUACGACCUGAGGGUGAAAGCGGGGGACCGAAAGGCCUCGCGCUAUUGGAGCGGCCGAUGUCGGAUUAGCUAGUUGGUGGGGUAAAGGCUUACCAAGGCGACGAUCCGUAGCUGGUCUGAGAGGACGACCAGCCACACUGGGACUGAGACACGGCCCAGACUCCUACGGGAGGCAGCAGUGGGGAAUUUUGGACAAUGGGGGCAACCCUGAUCCAGCCAUGCCGCGUGCGGGAAGAAGGCCUUCGGGUUGUAAACCGCUUUUGUUCGGGAAGAAAUCCUCUGGGCUAAUACCCCGGGGGGAUGACGGUACCGGAAGAAUAAGCACCGGCUAACUACGUG